This 252-nucleotide ribosomal RNA is filed under the name uncultured bacterium. RNAcentral describes it as "partial 16S ribosomal RNA". It matches the Rfam family "Bacterial small subunit ribosomal RNA", at positions 524 to 776 of the family's 1533-position model. The record is from RNAcentral.
UACGUAGGUGGCAAGCGUUAUCCGGAAUUAUUGGGCGUAAAGAGGGAGCAGGCGGCAGCAAAGGUCUGUGGUGGAAGACUGAAGCUUAACUUCAGUAAGCCAUAGAAACCGGGCAGCUAGAGUGCAGGAGAGGAUCGUGGAAUUCCAUGUGUAGCGGUGAAAUGCGUAGAUAUAUGGAGGAACACUAGUGGCGAAGGCGACGAUCUGGCCUGCAACUGACGCUCAGUCCCGAAAGCGUGGGGAGCAAAUAGG